RNAcentral lists this ribosomal RNA (372 nucleotides) under uncultured organism. RNAcentral describes it as "bacterial SSU rRNA". It matches the Rfam family "Bacterial small subunit ribosomal RNA", at positions 526 to 896 of the family's 1533-position model. The record is from RNAcentral.
CGUAGGAGGCGAGCGUUAUCCGGAUUCACUGGGCGUAAAGCGCGUGCAGGUGGCUCGGUAAGUUGGGCGUGAAAUCUCCCGGCUCAACUGGGAGAGGUCGUUCAAUACUACCGAGCUAGAGAGCAGAAGAGGAAGAUGGAAUUCCCGGUGUAGUGGUGAAAUGCGUAGAUAUCGGGAGGAACACCAGUGGCGAAGGCGAUCUUCUGGUCUGUUUCUGACACUCAGACGCGACAGCUAGGGUAGUAAACGGGAUUAGAGACCCCGGUAAUCCUAGCCGUAAACGAUGUGAACUUGGCGUUGGUGGGUUAAACUCCAUCAGUGCCGAAGCAAACGCGAUAAGUUCACCGCCUGGGGACUACGGCCGCAAGGUUA